CCCUUAGAUGUUCUGGGCCGCACGCGCGCUACACUGAUGAAUUCAACGAGCACUAACCUGUGCAGAAAUGUUCGGGUAAUCUUGUGAAAUUUCAUCGUGAUGGGGAUUGAUUAUUGCAAUUAUUAAUCAUAAACGAGGAAUGCCUAGUAAGCGUGAGUCAUCAGCUCACGUUGAUUACGUCCCUGCCCUUUGUACACACCGCCCGUCGCUCCUACCGAUUGAAUGUGCUGGUGAAAAGUUCGGAUUGGGAAUAGGAGACGGCAACGUAUCCUGUUUCUGAGAAAAUCUUUAAACCCUCCCAUUUAGAGGAAGGAGAAGUCGUANCA
RNAcentral lists this ribosomal RNA (326 nucleotides) under uncultured eukaryote. Its description in RNAcentral is "partial 18S ribosomal RNA". It matches the Rfam family "Eukaryotic small subunit ribosomal RNA", at positions 1470 to 1796 of the family's 1831-position model. The record is from RNAcentral.